RNAcentral lists this ribosomal RNA (459 nucleotides) under uncultured bacterium. Its description in RNAcentral is "partial 16S ribosomal RNA". It matches the Rfam family "Bacterial small subunit ribosomal RNA", at positions 338 to 795 of the family's 1533-position model. The record is from RNAcentral.
CCUACGGGAGGCAGCAGUGAGGAAUAUUGGUCAAUGGCCGGAAGGCUGAACCCGCCAAGUCGCGUGAGGGACGACUGCCCUCUGGGUUGUAAACCUCUUUUAUAAGGGAAGAAUAAAUGCUACGUGUAGCCUGAUGCCUGUACCUUAUGAAUAAACAUCGGCUAACUCCGUGCCAGCAGCCGCGGUAAUACUGAGGAUGCGAGCGUUCUCCGGAUUUAUUUGGUUUAAAGGGUGCGUAGGCGGUUUUUUAAGUUAGUGUUUAAACGUCGGGGCUUCACCUUGAUUUGCCAUUAAUACUGUAAGACUCGAGUUCAGACGAGGUAGGCGGAAUAAGUUAAGUAGCGGUGAAAUGCUUAGAUAUAACUUAGAACUCCGAUAGCGAAGGCAGCUUACCAGACUGCGACUGACGCUGAAGCACGAGAGCGUGGGUAGCGAACAGGAUUAGAUACCCCAGUAGUC